GCUGGCGACCGGCGCACGGGUGAGUAACACGUAUCCAACCUACCCUUUACUCGGGGAUAGCCUUUCGAAAGAAAGAUUAAUACCCGAUAGGCAUAAUGAUUCCGCAUGGUUUUCAUUAUUAAAGGAUUCCGGUAAAGGAUGGGGAUGCGUUCCAUUAGGUUGUUGGUGGGGUAACGGCCCACCCAAGCCUUCGAUGGAUAGGGGUUCUGAGAGGAAGGUCCCCCACAUUGGAACUGAGACACGGUCCAAACUCCUACGGGAGGCAGCAUG
RNAcentral lists this ribosomal RNA (270 nucleotides) under uncultured bacterium. RNAcentral's name for it is "partial 16S ribosomal RNA". It matches the Rfam family "Bacterial small subunit ribosomal RNA", at positions 87 to 353 of the family's 1533-position model. The record is from RNAcentral.